This 1960-nucleotide ribosomal RNA is filed under the name Campylobacter jejuni. RNAcentral's name for it is "partial 23S ribosomal RNA". It matches the Rfam family "Bacterial large subunit ribosomal RNA", at positions 978 to 2925 of the family's 2925-position model. Lineage: Bacteria; Pseudomonadati; Campylobacterota; Epsilonproteobacteria; Campylobacterales; Campylobacteraceae. The record is from RNAcentral.
CAGCAGUCAGGCGGCGAGUGAUAAAAUCCGUCGUCAAGAGGGAAACAACCCAGACUACCAGCUAAGGUCCCUAAAUCUUACUUAAGUGGAAAACGAUGUGAAGUUACUUAAACAACCAGGAGGUUGGCUUAGAAGCAGCCAUCCUUUAAAGAAAGCGUAAUAGCUCACUGGUCUAGUGAUUUUGCGCGGAAAAUAUAACGGGGCUAAAGUAAGUACUGAAGCUGUAGACUUAGUUUACUAAGUGGUAGGAGAGCGUUCUAUUUGCGUCGAAGGUAUACCGGUAAGGAGUGCUGGAGCGAAUAGAAGUGAGCAUGCAGGCAUGAGUAGCGAUAAUUAAUGUGAGAAUCAUUAACGCCGUAAACCCAAGGUUUCCUACGCGAUGCUCGUCAUCGUAGGGUUAGUCGGGUCCUAAGUCGAGUCCGAAAGGGGUAGACGAUGGCAAAUUGGUUAAUAUUCCAAUACCAACAUUAGUGUGCGAUGGAAGGACGCUUAGGGCUAAGGGGGCUAGCGGAUGGAAGUGCUAGUCUAAGGUCGUAGGAGGUUAUACAGGCAAAUCCGUAUAACAAUACUCCGAGAACUGAAAGGCUUUUUGAAGUCUUCGGAUGGAUAGAAGAACCCCUGAUGCCGUCGAGCCAAGAAAAGUUUCUAAGUUUAGCUAAUGUUGCCCGUACCGUAAACCGACACAGGUGGGUGGGAUGAGUAUUCUAAGGCGCGUGGAAGAACUCUCUUUAAGGAACUCUGCAAAAUAGCACCGUAUCUUCGGUAUAAGGUGUGGUUAGCUUUGUAUUAGGAUUUACUCCGAAAGCAAGGAAACUUACAACAAAGAGUCCCUCCCGACUGUUUACCAAAAACACAGCACUCUGCUAACUCGUAAGAGGAUGUAUAGGGUGUGACGCCUGCCCGGUGCUCGAAGGUUAAUUGAUGGGGUUAGCAUUAGCGAAGCUCUUGAUCGAAGCCCGAGUAAACGGCGGCCGUAACUAUAACGGUCCUAAGGUAGCGAAAUUCCUUGUCGGUUAAAUACCGACCUGCAUGAAUGGCGUAACGAGAUGGGAGCUGUCUCAAAGAGGGAUCCAGUGAAAUUGUAGUGGAGGUGAAAAUUCCUCCUACCCGCGGCAAGACGGAAAGACCCCGUGGACCUUUACUACAGCUUGACACUGCUACUUGGAUAAGAAUGUGCAGGAUAGGUGGGAGGCUUUGAGUAUAUGACGCCAGUUGUAUAUGAGCCAUUGUUGAGAUACCACUCUUUCUUAUUUGGGUAGCUAACCAGCUUGAGUUAUCCUCAAGUGGGACAAUGUCUGGUGGGUAGUUUGACUGGGGCGGUCGCCUCCCAAAUAAUAACGGAGGCUUACAAAGGUUGGCUCAGAACGGUUGGAAAUCGUUCGUAGAGUAUAAAGGUAUAAGCCAGCUUAACUGCAAGACAUACAAGUCAAGCAGAGACGAAAGUCGGUCUUAGUGAUCCGGUGGUUCUGUGUGGAAGGGCCAUCGCUCAAAGGAUAAAAGGUACCCCGGGGAUAACAGGCUGAUCUCCCCCAAGAGCUCACAUCGACGGGGAGGUUUGGCACCUCGAUGUCGGCUCAUCGCAUCCUGGGGCUGGAGCAGGUCCCAAGGGUAUGGCUGUUCGCCAUUUAAAGCGGUACGCGAGCUGGGUUCAGAACGUCGUGAGACAGUUCGGUCCCUAUCUGCCGUGGGCGUAAGAAGAUUGAAGAGAUUUGACCCUAGUACGAGAGGACCGGGUUGAACAAACCACUGGUGUAGCUGUUGUUCUGCCAAGAGCAUCGCAGCGUAGCUAAGUUUGGAAAGGAUAAACGCUGAAAGCAUCUAAGCGUGAAGCCAACUCUAAGAUGAAUCUUCUCUAAGCUCUCUAGAAGACUACUAGUUUGAUAGGCUGGGUGUGUAAUGGAUGAAAGUCCUUUAGCUGACCAGUACUAAUAGAGCGUUUGGCUUAUCUUUAAUAAAGCAU